This 748-nucleotide ribosomal RNA is filed under the name Salmonella enterica subsp. enterica serovar Enteritidis. RNAcentral's name for it is "partial 23S ribosomal RNA". It matches the Rfam family "Bacterial large subunit ribosomal RNA", at positions 441 to 1190 of the family's 2925-position model. Lineage: Bacteria; Pseudomonadati; Pseudomonadota; Gammaproteobacteria; Enterobacterales; Enterobacteriaceae. The record is from RNAcentral.
AAUAUGGGGGGACCAUCCUCCAAGGCUAAAUACUCCUGACUGACCGAUAGUGAACCAGUACCGUGAGGGAAAGGCGAAAAGAACCCCGGCGAGGGGAGUGAAAAAGAACCUGAAACCGUGUACGUACAAGCAGUGGGAGCACCCUUUGGGGUGUGACUGCGUACCUUUUGUAUAAUGGGUCAGCGACUUAUAUUCUGUAGCAAGGUUAACCGUAUAGGGGAGCCGGAGGGAAACCGAGUCUUAAUUGGGCGUUAAGUUGCAGGGUAUAGACCCGAAACCCGGUGAUCUAGCCAUGGGCAGGUUGAAGGUUGGGUAACACUAACUGGAGGACCGAACCGACUAAUGUUGAAAAAUUAGCGGAUGACCUGUGGCUGGGGGUGAAAGGCCAAUCAAACCGGGAGAUAGCUGGUUCUCCCCGAAAGCUAUUUAGGUAGCGCCUCGUGAAUUCAUCUCCGGGGGUAGAGCACUGUUUCGGCUAGGGGGCCAUCCCGGCUUACCAACCCGAUGCAAACUGCGAAUACCGGAGAAUGUUAUCACGGGAGACACACGGCGGGUGCUAACGUCCGUCGUGAAGAGGGAAACAACCCAGACCGCCAGCUAAGGUCCCAAAGUCAUGGUUAAGUGGGAAACGAUGUGGGAAGGCCCAGACAGCCAGGAUGUUGGCUUAGAAGCAGCCAUCAUUUAAAGAAAGCGUAAUAGCUCACUGGUCGAGUCGGCCUGCGCGGAAGAUGUAACGGGGCUAAACCAU